Cricetulus griseus (Chinese hamster) is the source of this 2206-nucleotide non-coding RNA. NCBI's taxonomy places the organism in Eukaryota, Metazoa, Chordata, Mammalia, Rodentia, Cricetidae. The record is from RefSeq and is a predicted model, not a curated record.
UUGGCGGCUUUUGGUGGAAAGAUUUAUCAUAACACAUUGAUGCCUUCUGAAUAACAGACUUUCAUGUCCCUUCUAAGUGACAUGUGAAGUCUCUACAAUAUUAGUAGUUUUCAGGUUGGCCAAGCAUGAAGAUGCUGUUACUAUUAUAUUGAAGUGCACUAUAGAAAAUUCAAAGAACUCAUGUAAAAAGAUGGGGGAGGGACCCCCAGCAUCUUUGAAUUUGAAUUAGAUAUUUUGGUUCUGGACAAAACAUGUGUGUGUGCACGGGCAUGCACGGGCGUGUGGGCAUGCACGGGCGCGUGUGCGCGCGCGCGCACACACACCGAGGGAAUGUGAUUAGUUGCUCUGGUGAUGGAAAAGGUGUUAAAACAAAAAAAAAAGAAAAGGCUGCUACAAGAAAAUUUUUUUUCCUUUAACUUAAAUGUUCAAAUGGACCAUUCAUAUUUAGCUGGGGAAAUAGCUAUGCCUUUUUCAAUGAGUAACAGGUCACAUAAAAUCAAUAAGCUCAAAAGUUAUGUGAUCCAGAUGUUUGUCCAGUGUUUCAAAGUUGCUAUAAGGACCUCAAAAACAGUUUUUGGUUUAUCAUUGACUGGUUCACUUUCAUAAUUUGUUGUUUACAAGAUAAAGUGUUAUAUUUGGAUGAAUUUGGGGUUUUGCUUAAAAUAUAGAGAUAUUCUGGUUAAUGAAUAAUCCUUGACUGGGAGAGCCAGCAGUGACAUUUGGACAGCAGAGGUAGAAUUGGAGAAGACAAGUCUGAGAUUGCAUAUGGAAUAGAAUGGCUUUGGGGGAUGCCUUAGCAAUGAGACUUGUGGAAGAGAGAGAAUGGAAUCAAUUAGACAAAGGAGCCUCAUUACAGCCUCAAUAAGGACAGCUCCAGCUGAGUUAGUUCUUGAGGAGCUCUGGAGUGAGAAUAACCCUUCAGCUGUGUUUUGGGUUAGCCUGGCUUUUAUACCAACAAAUCAAUCAGUCGCUGUAUGUCUGUCACCCUGGGAAUGGCAUGACCUUGGGCGAGGCACCUUUCCUUAGGAGAGACAAGUAGCUGGAGUCUUUCUUCCAGGAGCAUAUUGCCAGCAACAGGAAACAAAUUCUUCAUGUAGAGGAGUGAGUAUACAUGACAAUGUGUGUGUGUGUGUGGGGGGGGCAGGGAGGAAGAGAAAGGAAGGGAGAGUUGGAGAUAGGAAAGGAAAGAGAGAGAGAGACAGAGCAAGCAAGCUAGUGAGUGAAUGAGAUAGCAUUAUUAACUAUAAUUAGACUGAUACAGGGGGUCUUACUGCUGUCCUGUUUAUGUGGCUCAAUCUGGAUGGAAUAAUGAGCAUUGAACAGAAGAUGGCAGUAUAGUGCCAAUUUCGAUGUGCUUUUAUGUAGCUCAAAUUUCAGAGGUAAGAAAGUAGAAUCAUCUUAUUGUUUUAAUAAAGAAAAAGAGCAAGAAAGAUGAGAUGCUGUUUUCAUGUUUUUUUUCUCACAGCUGAAAUACUUUGAAGAGGUGACAUGUGGUGUGUGUGUGUAUACGUGCAGUGCAGUGCAUGUUGGCAGCUACAAAGGAGAUCAGAUGGCAUUACCUCUGGAACUGAAGAGGCUGUGAUAGCACAAGCAUCUCAGCAGAGGGCAUUGUAAGAUCAGCAACGUUGUUAGCUUUGGGGCUGUGGCGACCUGGAUGCAGAUACAGAAUCUUCCAGUAGAUGGCGUUUUCCCCUUACACUUACAGCAAGUUUGGCCAAGAGGAGAGUCUGCACUGAACCUCUGUUAUUAACGAAGGCUCCAGGGGAUCCCGGUUCUUUCCCUGGUCUGGAGCUGAGCACAGGGGGUUUUCUUUGCGUUUGGGUGGGCUUAGGACCAGUGGUCAGCGAGGUCGUUUUCUCUCUGCUUUUGCUCCGGUGUGAGUAGAUGUGAAUUGGCAGGCCCUGCUGGCAAGGCCACAGUAAGCUGUAACUCGGGUGACACUGCUGUUAAGUCUGGUGACACUGAUGUGCUGGAGUCGAACAGCAGGAAGAACCAUCACAAAUUAAGUGUCCUUUACUGGAUACCCAACUUGUAUUUGGUACCAAGAGAGGAACUUUUGAUCAAAUUAUUUUAUGUAGUUUUCACAGUAACUUUGCAAGUAAGUUUCCAUUGUUGUCUACAUUAAAAAAAUUGGUAAUUGUUAUAUGCACACAGUAACAUUUUAUUGAAUACAUCUCUUUUUUAACAAUAAAAAUGUGAAGUGUUU